UCCGAGAUAGCGGCGCGCGGGCAGGAGCUGCGGCUGCCGCCGUCGCCGCAAUAGCAAUAGCGAAAGCAGCAGCAGCAACAGCGCGCGCCGGCGAAGUCCGCGCGCGGGACCCUUCGGAACGUCGGCAGGCGUCGCGCGCCUCAGUUCCAGAGAAAGCGUGCCUGAAACAAGCCGCAGUGAGGCCGCCAGCGACUUUUCCAGAGUGACCACUUCACUGGCCACUGAGGCAGUCGAGCCAGCCCUUGACAAGACCACCAAUCCCUGUGCUGAUGUGGCUGAAGGUAGGUUACCUUUUGGUAUCUUGCGUGGGAGAGGGCACAACUGGAAGCUGAAGUUACUAUUGCCAGUGAAGAAUUCCGGCAUGCCGGGUGCCUUGGCAGUCAAGGAGGACUUCCAGAUGUGUUGGAUAUGGAUCUCGUUUGAACAGCUCAUUGCAGGAAGGACAGUUUAGUUCUGGACUCUGCCGCAGAUAUCCCUGUAUAUGUCAAGUGACUUGGAAAAAGGCAUGGUUGUGUUGAAGGCGGCAGUGGAUUUUGAAUGGAUUUAUUUAGUUCAUGUACCUAUUUUGAUAUAUCAGCCACUUUCUGGUGGAUGGUGUUUUCUAAAUGUGGCUGGGUUUUCUUACCUUCUGAAGUACCUUGAUUUAUUCUGCUGCUUUUGAGUCAAGGGCUUGACCAAUAGAUGCUUCAGGCUACCACAGAGGGAACAGUUAACUUCCUAAAUUUCCUGAGCACUCAGGCUGUGAACAGCUCUUGGUUUCUCUGUUUCUAAAAAGGGCAGAUGGUAUUUUCUUCAUGUGAUGGUUUCUCUUUUGAGGUUAUUGGCAUUGCUGAUCUGUCUACUUUUUCAGUGUUUUUUGCUUGUACUGGGAAAUGCUGAGUAAGUCUCAUGGGGAAUGACUUGGGAAAAUUUCAGUUCCCUUAAUCUUGUUGAUUCCCUUGUCUACUGCAUUUUAAAAACAGUAAAGAAUAUCUGAGUCAGCCAGGGCCUUGUUCAGUAACCUCUGACUCAAAGUCACAUCUUUGGUGGGGCUUCUGAGUGGCAGCAUGGAACCCUCAGCAGUCUUUUUAGAGUCCACCGAUCACCUUGUGAUACUUACUUUGCAUGCUCUUGGGGUUCUUCCUUUUUGAGACCCUCUCAAAAGAAGCACAUAGCCAG
Molecule: long non-coding RNA, 1158 nt
Filed under: Varanus komodoensis (Komodo dragon)
Lineage: Eukaryota; Metazoa; Chordata; Lepidosauria; Squamata; Varanidae
Description: lncRNA (ENSVKKG00000000275.1)
Source: RNAcentral